GACGAACGCUGGCGGCGUGCUUAACACAUGCAAGUCGAGCGGAAAGGCCACUUCGGUGGUACUCGAGCGGCGAACGGGUGAGUAACACGUGAGUAAUCUGCCCUUCACUCUGGGAUAGCCACCGGAAACGGUGAAUAAUACCGGAUACGACCACUCCACGCAUGUGGUGGUGGUGGAAACUUUUUGGGUGGGGGAUGUGCUCGCGGCCGAUCGGCUUGUUGGUGGGGUAAUGGCCUACCAAGGCUUCGACGGGUGGCCGGCUUGAGAGGGUGACCGGCCACACUGGGACUGAGACACGGCCCAGACUCCUACGGGAGGCAGCAGUGGGGAAUAUUGGACAAUGGGCGGAAGCCUGAUCCAGCAACGCCGCGUGAGGGAUGACGGCCUUCGGGUUGUAAACCUCUUUCAGCACCGACGAAGCGCAAGUGACGGUAGGUGCAGAAGAAGGACCGGCCAACUACGUGCCAGCAGCCGCCGUAA
This 480-nucleotide ribosomal RNA is filed under the name uncultured bacterium. RNAcentral describes it as "partial 16S ribosomal RNA". It matches the Rfam family "Bacterial small subunit ribosomal RNA", at positions 28 to 523 of the family's 1533-position model. The record is from RNAcentral.